Molecule: ribosomal RNA, 307 nt
Filed under: Clostridioides difficile
Lineage: Bacteria; Bacillati; Bacillota; Clostridia; Peptostreptococcales; Peptostreptococcaceae
Description: partial 23S ribosomal RNA
Rfam family: Bacterial large subunit ribosomal RNA
Source: RNAcentral
UUGACGUAGACCCGAAACCGGGCGACCUACCCAUGAGCAGGAUGAAGCGAAAGUAAAAUUUCGUGGAGGUCCGAACCCACGAGCGUUGAAAAGCUCGGGGAUGACUUGUGGGUAGCGGUGAAAUUCCAAUCGAGCCCGGAGAUAGCUGGUUCUCCCCGAAAUAGCUUUAGGGCUAGCCUCAAGGUGAGAGAUACGGAGGUAGAGCACUGAAUGUCCUAGGGGGUAUUGCACCUACCGAAGACUAUCAAACUCCGAAUGCCGUCAUCUUAUACUUGGGAGUCAGACUGUGGGUGAUAAGAUUCAUAGU